This 555-nucleotide long non-coding RNA is filed under the name Ictidomys tridecemlineatus (thirteen-lined ground squirrel). Its description in RNAcentral is "lncRNA (ENSSTOG00000029768.1)". Lineage: Eukaryota; Metazoa; Chordata; Mammalia; Rodentia; Sciuridae. The record is from RNAcentral.
CUGAUGGGCUUACAGCACAGUUAUCUUCCUGUGAUUAUGCCCUACCAUUUCCAUCUCUGUGACCAAAGGCACUCUCAUGUGGAGAUCCCAACUGGCUCCUACUUACAGAAUGUGUCAGAAGUGGCUUUUCUAGGGGACUGAAUUGUGAGACCACUGGUCAGGGACCCUGUCUGAUUCCUCCAAACUGCAGAGUUUCUUAAGAAGAAUAAAGAGGAGAAAAAUAAAGAGCAGAAGAAAAGAUGUCAGAGGUUACAUUGCGCACGUAAGAAAGAGUCCACGAGAAAGGAACAAAAAGUGCAAAGCCUCAGCAAUCCAGAGAGAAAGAAGAAACAGAGAUUCUGAGCUGACUGAAAAAAUCGAAAAGGAAGCUUCAGGACACCAAAGGAAAUGGGACUGCUGUACCAAUGUGUUGGCGGAAGCCUGGAAGAGGAGUGGGAGAAGGAAGGAGACCACAGCUGUGUCUGACUUAGAAGGGCUGGGCCUUCUAUAAAACGGGAAAGGUGGUUCCUGGUAAGUGGCUCCUGUAUGGUGCUUAGUGUAGCAUGCCAGUGAGAA